UACGUAGGGGGCGAGCGUUGUCCGGAGUUACUGGGCGUAAAGCGUACGCAGGCGGUCUGCUAAGUUUGGAGUGACAGUUGGUGGCUUAACUGCCAAAGUGCUUCGAAAACUGACAGACUUGAGGGCUUCAGAGGGACACGGAAUUCCGGGUGGAGUGGUGAAAUGCGUAGAGAUCCGGAGGAACACCAAAGGCGAAGGCAGUGUCCUGGGGAGUACCUGACGCUCAGGUGCGAAAGCCAGGGGAGCGAACGGG
RNAcentral lists this ribosomal RNA (253 nucleotides) under uncultured bacterium. Its description in RNAcentral is "partial 16S ribosomal RNA". It matches the Rfam family "Bacterial small subunit ribosomal RNA", at positions 524 to 776 of the family's 1533-position model. The record is from RNAcentral.